RNAcentral lists this ribosomal RNA (492 nucleotides) under uncultured bacterium. Its description in RNAcentral is "partial 16S ribosomal RNA". It matches the Rfam family "Bacterial small subunit ribosomal RNA", at positions 29 to 507 of the family's 1533-position model. The record is from RNAcentral.
AGUGAACGCUGGCGGUAGGCCUAACACAUGCAAGUCGAACGGCAGCACAGUAAGAGCUUGCUCUUACGGGUGGCGAGUGGCGGACGGGUGAGGAAUACAUCGGAAUCUACUUUUUCGUGGGGGAUAACGUAGGGAAACUUACGCUAAUACCGCAUACGACCUACGGGUGAAAGCAGGGGAUCUUCGGACCUUGCGCGAUUGAAUGAGCCGAUGUCGGAAUAGCUAGUUGGCGGGGUAAAGGCCCACCAAGGCGACGAUCCGUAGCUGGUCUGAGAGGAUGAUCGGCCACACUGGAACUGAGACACGGUCCAGACUCCUACGGGAGGCAGCAGUGGGGAAUAUUGGACAAUGGGCGCAAGCCUGAUCCAGCCAUACCGCGUGGGUGAAGAAGGCCUUCGGGUUGUAAAGCCCUUUUGUUGGGAAAGAAAAGCAGCAGGUUAAUACCCCGCUGUUCUGACGGUACCCAAAGAAUAAGCACCGGCUAACUUCGUG